AACUUUCUAACUUAGUAAUUGAAUACGAAUCAACACCUCCUUUAGUAUGCAAUGUCAUGCAAAAAACAAUCAAAACAAAACAUAGGUUAGUAUCAAAUAAUAGCGAUAAAAUGCAAGAACAUAAACGAUAAUUACAACGCAUAUACGGGUAAGUACUAAGGCUUGACGCGGCUCCACCCAAGGAUAGCUCUUAAGGUUCACUAUAUGGGUUCGGUUCUAGAGAUAAGGUACCCGAACCAGCAGAUUCCUCAAUCCUCACCCAUUAUAGGCUCAUAUAGAUCGAGUUCGGUUCAGGGGGAUACAUUUCCCUAUGACCAUGCGGAGAUGAAAAUCUCACGAAAUCAUAGGUACGAAUAUACCCUAGAAGCAAUCCACUAGCCCAUGCGGAGGUGAAAACCUCACGAAAGCAUAGUUUCUUACUCCCACUUAGAAGGUGUGACCACAACGGUCAUGCAAUGCAAUGCAAUAUUAUUCUACGAGACCCGAACCAUAACAACCAUACAAACAAAUGUGAUCAUGAUUUUCAAAACAAGUUUUCAAUUUUUGACAAAAGGAUAACAAAUAAUCGAUUUUAUGGCUAGACUCUCUUGUUCGGUCCCUAGCGGAGUCGCCAGACUGUCGAAACCAUCUGCCUUUUUGUUUUAAAAAAUUUUGAAUUUAAUAAAAAAACAGGGGAAUCGACUUUUGAAAAUAAAACAUGGAGUCGCCACUGAUCUUUCUGUUUUGGUGUGAUCGGAUCACCUAAGAGUUUGGUUAUUUUAAUAAAACAUUUUGGUUUACGAAAACAAUGAUUUUGGUCUACGAACUUUUGAGAAAAACGGGUUCGGGAUUCGGUUGCGCAUGAGGAAGGAUUAGCACCCUCACUACGCCCAAAAUUGGUACCAAACCGAUUAAAUACUGUCUCAUGUAUAAGAUUUAAAAAUGUUUUUGAAAUGUGAUUCCCUUUUUGAUAAUAUUUGAAUAACCUGAGUUGAUUUCCAAAAAUCUUCUUAUUUCGACUUCCAAAAGUUUAUAAUUCAAAAAUUACAAAAUGAUGCUCAACUAUUUAGUCCAACAAAAAACCGAAACCCAGCACAGUAGGGCACGAUUCCUUGAAUUUCCAAACAUUGAACAUUGCCUCGCCUUAGAAAAUACGAGUGAAAUUUCGAAGGGAUAUUCGAUUAUUUUGAAGAAACGGGAGAUUGCAAUCCAGCACGAUAGGGCGCUAUUCCCUGAAUUUCCAGACAUCGAACAUUUCCCUUGUUUUAAAGAGUUAUUAGAAAACAUGAGUGAAAUUUUAAAGGAAUCUUCGAUUGUUUUGAACAAAUGAAAAAGCGCAACCCAACACGAUAGGGCACGAUUCUCAAAUAGCCAAACAUCGAACAUUUCCUUCGUUUCAAAAAGUUUUUAGAAAACGUGAAUGAAAUUUUAAAGGGACAUUCGGUUAUUUUGAGGAAACGAGAAAUUGCACCCCAGCACGUUAGGGCACAAUUCUGCGAAUUGUCAAAUAUCGAACAUCGCCUUCGUUUUAAUAAAAUUUUUAAAUGAAUAAUUAUAAAACUAGCUUAAAACACAAUAAUUUGACUUAAAAUAAAACGGAAUUGAUUUUAAAGAUAUGGGCUUUAUAAAACCACAUUUCAUAAAUCGAGUGGAAAACAACGAUAUGGAAUAAUGUACACCCAUAAGCUACAAUGCCAAUUAUCAAACUAAUAAUCAAGUAUGGCUAAUCUAAAAAAAUGUAACCCGAUUACAAUAGUGCAUGGAGAAUAAUUAACAUAACAAUAUCAAGACAAAAAUUAUAAUAACAAUGCAUCGCACAAAACAAAAUAACAAUACACGAUAGUAAUAUGCCACAAUAAUAUACAUAGCAUGAUAUAAAAUGGUCAAUGCAAGAUGUAGAAAAACAACAUAGUAAUUAGAAGCUAAUGUGCCAUAACGAUUUUAAAAUAAUGAGGAAUAAACGGACACAUAAUAUAGGUUGACAAAUUUGUAUGAAAAUUAGGAAUAGAUAUAUACUUUUUGAAAUGGAUCUUAUAGAAUAAAAGUUUAAAUCAAAUUGCAUGUAAAAUAUUUUAGACACAAAUUCAUUUAAAAGUUGACAAAGUAGAUGAUAAUUUAAAUAACAUAUAAUACAAAAGAAAAACAAAGAUACAUGACAAGACAUAAUACACAAAAUAGAUUUUUAAAAAAAACAUAUGUACAUAUAAAUAGCUUUGAAAAUAAUCAUUUGUAAAAACCUAGAAAUACAUACAAGAUUAAGUUAAUUUUAUAAUAAAUUAUAUAAAGUUUUAAGAACAUGCUUAUAUAUGUAAUAAAACCAUAUGUAUAAGAUGUAUAGAUUUAGAAAUAUAUAAAUCAAAUAUGUGUACUAAUAUAAGUAAGUAUAAAAAUAAUUUGAACUUUAUGCAAAACAUAUAUACAAAACACGUUAGAAUAACGAAAUAUAUACCAAAAUACAUGGAUAGAGUCAAAAACCAUUAUAUGCAUGAAAAUAUGUUAAGUUUGUUAUAAAAUAUGUAUAUGUAUAAUAAUAUAAAGGAGAUAAACAUUUAAAGUAUACAUAGUAUGAUAAUAACAUUGCAAAAACGAAUUUACAACAAUGAAGAAACAAUUACAAAAGUUGCUUAAAAUGUACAAAUAAAUAAGAAUAAAAAGGGAAAUAAAAUAAAAAGACUCAAUUAAAAUUAAACAAAAACACACGGGGUAAUUUGAAAAUAAAUCAAUAAUGAUAAAAAGGCCUAUAGGUAAUGCGCGCAGCCGUGUAGAGACUCAAACUGGAAAUAUUCCAGUCCCCCAAAAUGCAGCACACAAGCGCGGACCAAAAUACAAACGCACACAACUUAUGGGUAAAACUUAAAAGAAAAAGAGAUGUGAAUAUAAACUGAUUUGAAAAUGGGGGGAAAGGGGAAGGCCUUAUGUUGAAAAUAACCCAUCAGCGACCAAACACUCGGAUCUUGAGCGUGUGCGGGUCGGGUCAUCGGGCUGUAGCCUUGAACACAGUCGUUUUGAGGCCAUUAAUUUGGCCUAAAACGGUGACGUCUGAAGGGCCCUUAUGGUCACCGCAAGAAACCCUAGAAGGGUCUGCAGCCAUUUCUAAAAGCAAGAAAGAAAAAAAAACUAGGGUGCCCCCAACCUUUUUUCGUUUAACAACCCUUCGAAGGUCGGUUCUCCUGCCUCUCCUUUCGAUUCGUUCGAGAGUCAAUCAAGGCUUCAUCGAACCUAAAGACUCGUGUGUCUUGCUCACGAACCCCGAAUCGCCACUUGGUUUCGAUCGUGGCGAAACAAGCGAGGAUUCGAAGGCAUCAAACGCGGGUAAAUUUCGUUUCCUUUUUCUUACUACAUUCGAUCAAGAAAAAAAGGUAAAUAAGAGAGGAAGAGAGAAAUAAGGGAAGAAAAUUGUGAAUGAAUUACCUUGUUUGUUUUCUUUCUAUUCUGGUUGUUUUUUCUUUUGUGUAUAUUGCCUUUAUAUGUAAGAAGGGAACCCCUUUACAAUCAAAAUCAAUAGGCUUUAUAGCCGAAUGUUAAAAAAUAAAAAAUAAAAAAUAAAAAUAAAAAUACAAUUUUUCUUUCUUUGUUUUUUUCCUUGUUUCGUUUGUUCUCUUUCAUAGGUACGGAGUACGGGGCUGUACGUUGUCGUGUGUACGGGAGUGGGCUGGCGUACGGGAGCUGGUGUGUCGUACGGUGCGAGGGUGUGGCUGCUGGAGGGUACGGAGGCUGGGGCUGCUGUCCGGUUGUGGCGCAACUGCUGCUAGGGCUAGGCUUUGCCAAAAUUUGUUUAGUAUUUGGGCCGUUUGGGCUCAUUUUGGGUAUUGGGUUAGUCUUUGGGUCAUGGGAUUGGUUUUUGUAAAUGGGCUAUGGGCCAUUGUAGUAAUUUUUUUUGACUGAUGGACUGUAAGAGGACAUUUAAUUAAUUAUUGGUUUUUUUUGUUUCUUUAUUUUGUAUUUUGGCUUUGACGUGGGUCCGUGCAAAUUGGCCUGUUUACAGUUAUUAUUUAAAGACAUUCUUGUAUAUCAUAUUGUUUUAAAAUUUUGUAAAUAUUUAAUUUAACUACCCUUAUAUAUUAUUAUACAUGUAUAGUUUAUGAUAAAAUUAGUUUUAUUCU
RNAcentral lists this long non-coding RNA (4082 nucleotides) under Gossypium barbadense (sea-island cotton). RNAcentral's name for it is "long non-coding RNA (GBAR_LNC003437)". The record is from RNAcentral. Lineage: Eukaryota; Viridiplantae; Streptophyta; Magnoliopsida; Malvales; Malvaceae.